This is a long non-coding RNA of Hemicordylus capensis (graceful crag lizard), 664 nucleotides long. RefSeq lists it as uncharacterized. NCBI's taxonomy places the organism in Eukaryota, Metazoa, Chordata, Lepidosauria, Squamata, Cordylidae. The record is from RefSeq and is a predicted model, not a curated record. The transcript is spliced from 3 exons.
CCUCCAUCGUUUGGGCUCCCCUGAGCUUGCCUUGUGAUGAGAGGCAGCUGCCUUGUGAUGAAAACAAUGGAGCCUCCGCUGCUUCCACUUCAGAUGAGCUUAUGAAAUUUUAAUACACUAAAUGGCUUUGCCAGGGCAGGGCAGGGCAAGGCGCUGCCAGGAAUGGUGGCUGCAGAGAAGAGAGUGGGGGAGCAGCUGAGCCUUCAGCCGUGCUUUCUGCGGGCCCCUGGUGCAGGCAGGCAGGCGCACGCAGGGAGGAAGCAGGCGGGCUAGGAGGAGUGUCGCCCCAAGGCAAAGGCCUCUCCCAGGGGGACGGAACAGCCCAGGCUCCCUGCUCACCUGCACAGGCCAGUCCAUUUUUCUUCCAUGGGGGAACUACUCCGGCCGAGCUGAAUGAUCCUUGGGGUUCCCCGGCUGUCUCCCAUCCAGGCACUGACCAGACCUAGACCUGCUUAGCUUCAGCAAGGGGCCUUCAGACCACUACGCCAUGGGACAGCCCCCAAGGUACUUAUUGAGUUUUGGGAGAGAGGCCAUCUUAAUGGAAAGUGCAAAUCGCUGGAGUUGCUGGGGUCGCCAAGGCGUCUGGACCAAAUUGAGCCGAUAUAGCUCUCUUCCUUUUUUCCCUCUUCUGUUUUUCUUUCUUUCUUUCCCCUUCCUCUUCUUU